GAGUUUGAUCGUGGCUCAGAGCGAACGCUGGCGGCAGGCUUAACACAUGCAAGUCGAGCGGGCCCUUCGGGGUCAGCGGCGGACGGGUGAGUAACGCGUGGGAACGUGCCUUCUGGUUCGGAAUAACCCUGGGAAACUAGGCUAAUACCGGAUACGCCCUUUUGGGGAAAGGUUUACUGCCGGAAGAUCGGCCCGCGUCUGAUUAGCUAGUUGGUGGGGUAAUGGCCUACCAAGGCGACGAUCAGUAGCUGGUCUGAGAGGGAUGAUCAGCCACACUGGGACUGAGACACGGCCCAGACUCCUACGGGAGGCAGCAGUGGGAAUAUUGGACAAUGGGCGCAAGCCUGAUCCAGCCAUGCCGCGUGAGUGAUGAAGGCCUUAGGGUUGUAAAGCUCUUUUAUCCGGGACGAUAAUGACGGUACCGGAGGAAUAAGCCCGGCUAACUUCGUGCCAGCAGCCGCCG
This 463-nucleotide ribosomal RNA is filed under the name uncultured microorganism. Its description in RNAcentral is "bacterial SSU rRNA". It matches the Rfam family "Bacterial small subunit ribosomal RNA", at positions 9 to 520 of the family's 1533-position model. The record is from RNAcentral.